ACAAAACCUUUUCAUUUUUUUUCCAAAAAAAAUAAAUUUUUUUAAAAUUUAAACAUUUGUUAUAUUAUAAUUAUUUUUAUAAAUUUUAAAUUUUUUAAUCAAAAUAUCAGUUUAAAUAAAAAUAUUUUAUUGUUUAUAUUUUAAAUCGGCCAAUUUGCAUAAAAAUCCACUAAUUUUGGGCUUUUGCAAAAGUGGGCUACCUUUUUCGUUUUUACAAAUUCGGUCCGAUUUUUCAGCAAACUGACCAAAAUACCCUUAUACCUUUUUCUCUCUACUCUUUUUUUUUCUCUCGUUCUUUUUUUCUUUCU
RNAcentral lists this long non-coding RNA (308 nucleotides) under Ananas comosus (pineapple). RNAcentral's name for it is "long non-coding RNA (ACOM_LNC014841)". Lineage: Eukaryota; Viridiplantae; Streptophyta; Magnoliopsida; Poales; Bromeliaceae. The record is from RNAcentral.